CCGAGUCACGUGCUCAAACAACCCUUCUGUGGACCUGAAAUAAACCGUUGCCUCGGCGGGCGGUCCCCUGCUAAAAACCCAUGUGGUGUAGGCAGGGGACCAGACAGUCCGGUACGCUUGAGGCGUCCGGCGCCAGCCGCUGGCCCUAAAAAAUUAAACUCUAGUAACCUUACCUUCUGAGUUUUAAUACAAAAAAUAAGUCA
Molecule: unclassified non-coding RNA, 203 nt
Filed under: uncultured Ascomycota
Lineage: Eukaryota; Fungi; Ascomycota
Description: sequence contains ITS1
Source: RNAcentral